ACAUCAGUGACUCUGUAAUUAAAAAUUUAGACCUCUUGCACGUUUGUAGCACACAUUAACGAUAAGGAAUAGAGACUGAGGAAGUAAUCAGAGGCAUGAAAGCAUAUAGAAAUAAUUAUCCCUUACAUUCCAGCUUGUUAGAAAGAACCAAUGAAUGUUAUUAGCUGCUUGCAAUUAUAAUAUAAUAGGAUUAUGAUCUUACAAUGUCAUUAAACAGUUUAUGUA
Molecule: long non-coding RNA, 225 nt
Filed under: Elaeis guineensis (African oil palm)
Lineage: Eukaryota; Viridiplantae; Streptophyta; Magnoliopsida; Arecales; Arecaceae
Description: long non-coding RNA (EGUI_LNC029768)
Source: RNAcentral